This 909-nucleotide long non-coding RNA is filed under the name Nicotiana benthamiana. RNAcentral's name for it is "long non-coding RNA (NBEN_LNC004351)". The record is from RNAcentral. Lineage: Eukaryota; Viridiplantae; Streptophyta; Magnoliopsida; Solanales; Solanaceae.
CUGAACCUAGCCCCUAGACAAAGCACCACUAAAGCUACCCAAUCCUCGAGGCCUCUUGGCCUCCCUCUCCUCUCUCUCCUAACAACGAGUCGUCUCGAUAUCAUGAGCGAUUUCCAAUGCAUCCUCAAAGGUAUGACUCAGAAUCCUUUCUUGGGUCAUCAGAAUACAGACGCGAUAGAUAAGUCCAUCCACAAACCACUUAAUCCUCUCCCGAUAAUUCGGGACCAUCCAUGGAGCAUAACGAGCCAACUCCAAAAAUCUCACCUCAUACCGUGACAGUCAUAUCUCCCUGACGAAGCCACUCAAACUGUCUCCGCAGAUCCUCCCUAUGAGACUGUGGUACCCACUUCUCGAAGAAGAGAGUGGAGAAAUCCUGCCAUGACAAAGGCGCUGCACCUCUCCGCCUACACCGCUCCUAAGCCUCCUGCCGAGUGAAGGAUACUCCAGAAAAUUGAAAAGUAGUAAUUGAUACCGUGCUCGACUCCAAGAUCCCUACGGUCCAAAGCAUAUGUCGACACUUGUCGAGUAAACCCUGGGCAUCCUCACUUGGAACACCACUGAAAGUAGGAGGUGAGAGCCUACUGAACCUCUCAAGACGACGCUGCUCAUUGUUUGACAUAGUUGGAAUCACAUCAUCCUGAACCUGGGCAACCGACUAAACUGGGGCAACUUGCUGAACUGAGGCAACCUGCUAAACUGGUGGUUCCUCUGGUGUCAGCAAACCCUGCACUACCUGCUCAGGUGUGCGAGCAGCGGGAGUCUGAUUGCUUCCCCUGGCCUGCGAAGUAGCUGCUAUAGUAGUGGCUGAGACGGCCUAAGCCAUGUCAGUGCAAACUGAUGGAAUCUGAGCUAGGGCCUCCUGAAGACCCGGAAUCACAAUAGGCACAACUGGUGCCUGAAGAGGUGCUG